GACGAACGCUGGCGGCGUGCUUAACACAUGCAAGUCGAACGGAAAGGCCCUGCUUUUGUGGGGUGCUCGAGUGGCGAACGGGUGUGUAACGCGUGAGUAACCCGCCCUUGACUUUGGGAUAACUUCAGGACACUGGGGCUAACAUCGGAUAGGAGCACCUGCUGCACGGUGGGGGAUGGAAACUUUCGGCGGUUGGGGAUGGACUCGCGGCUUAUCAGCUUGUUGGUGGGGUAGCGGCUUACCAAGGCUGUGACGGGUAGCCGGCCUGAGAGGGUGACCGGCCAAAUUGGGAAUGAGGACCCGGCCAGAAUCCUUAGGGGAGGAGGCGGUGGGGAUAUUGCGACAUGGGAGGGAGCGUGAUACAGAGCCACCGCGUGCGGAAUAACGGCCUUCGCGGUAUAUAACGCGUUCGCCUGUGACGAGAAGCGAGUGACGGUAAUGAGUGAAGAAGCAACGGCUAACUACGUG
RNAcentral lists this ribosomal RNA (468 nucleotides) under uncultured bacterium. Its description in RNAcentral is "partial 16S ribosomal RNA". It matches the Rfam family "Bacterial small subunit ribosomal RNA", at positions 28 to 507 of the family's 1533-position model. The record is from RNAcentral.